RNAcentral lists this ribosomal RNA (672 nucleotides) under Lissodendoryx complicata. Its description in RNAcentral is "eukaryotic LSU rRNA". It matches the Rfam family "Eukaryotic large subunit ribosomal RNA", at positions 162 to 647 of the family's 3401-position model. The record is from RNAcentral. Lineage: Eukaryota; Metazoa; Porifera; Demospongiae; Poecilosclerida; Coelosphaeridae.
CGAGCCCAGACUGGCGCUGUCGAAGUUGACCUGGAAAGGCAUGUCAGAGAGGGUGAGAGCCCCGUGCGCGACACCGCCGGGCUGGGCCGCUACUGUCUUCGGAGAGUCGGGUUGUUUGGGUAUGCAGCCCAAAGUGGGUGGUAAACUCCAUCUAAAGCUAAAUACUGGCACGAGACCGAUAGCGAACAAGUACCGUGAGGGAAAGGUGAAAAGUACUUUGAAAAGAGAGUCAAAAAGACCGCGAAACCGUUAGGAGGGAAACGAAUGCAGCUGAAGUGGUUCCCCGUCAGGCUCAGGAGACGUCRGUCGGUCCUGCCGGGUUCCGGAAGCCGUGAGGCGCCGGGGCUCUGGAUGGGCUGCCGACCACUCUGCACUUCUGCGGGGAACCGGCCAACAGCAGUCGCUCCUGGCUCAGGAGGGCGCCCGGGUAGGUGGCUCCGCGCUCGCGUGGAGAACUUAUAGCCGCGGCGUCUGGCAGAAAGUCUGGGGGCGACGGAGGAGAGUUGCGAGUCCAGUCGCACGUGCAGCGCAGGCCUUCGGGCUGGGCCGCCUUCGUCGGGGGGACGACCGCGGCGGCCACUGCGUGCAGUGACUGCCGACGGCUCGGCUCCCGGGCGGGGGGCCGGUCACACCUUGCGCUGCGGUUGUUGGCGUCCGAAUGGCUGCAUCCGA